AUUGAACGCUGGCGGCAUGCCUUACACAUGCAAGUCGAACGGCAGCACGGGAGCAAUCCUGGUGGCGAGUGGCGAACGGGUGAGUAAUGUAUCGGAACGUACCUUUCAGUGGGGGAUAACGUAGCGAAAGUUACGCUAAUACCGCAUAUUCUGUGAGCAGGAAAGCAGGGGAUCGCAAGACCUUGCGCUGAUUGAGCGGCCGAUAUCAGAUUAGCUAGUUGGUGAGGUAAAGGCUCACCAAGGCGACGAUCUGUAGCGGGUCUGAGAGGAUGAUCCGCCACACUGGAACUGAGACACGGUCCAGACUCCUACGGGAGGCAGCAGUGGGGAAUUUUGGACAAUGGGCGCAAGCCUGAUCCAGCCAUGCCGCGUGAGUGAAGAAGGCC
Molecule: ribosomal RNA, 386 nt
Filed under: uncultured bacterium
Lineage: Bacteria
Description: bacterial SSU rRNA
Rfam family: Bacterial small subunit ribosomal RNA
Source: RNAcentral